AACUCUCUCCCGUCACUCUCCCUCCCCCUCCCUUUUUCUUUUGAUCAGCGAACCUGCAGCCAUCAUGGCCAGCCGGCGAGGCUUCCACCCACCAUGGGCGACACCGACGAACUGCCAGCUGGCCGGAGCAGUGCCGGCAGCGACGCAAAUGGAGCAGUUUUCCUCAUCAACGCGCGCACAAUGAGCAGUAACUUUCAGACGCAAUUCUGGUUUCAUCCGACGUCCGAUCGAGGCGAUUCAGGUGGCGUUAGAAAGCUUGUUCCGAGAGCUUUCUUUUGAUACUAAUUUUGCAGCAAAUGGAGGUCGGAUGAGUGAGAUAUAGAUGAAAGAAGUUUCGGGUUUUUCAAAUUUUUUUGUCAGAUCUAGGACGAUCCGACCGUUGGAUUGACGAUCCGAGACCACCUAUGGACUGAGGGAGAGGAGAGGAACAUGAUGGUAUGAUCAGAUCCAGCAGAUGCCGCCGGUGACCGACGGCCGGCCACCGUGCGCGGUGGUUCCGGCGGUGGCUCCGGUGAGCUUUGGAGAUGAUUCAACUUCCAGAGGCUUCCUCAUAAAUUUGUGAAAUUUUUGAGACACAGAUAAGCUUCGGGUGAUCGAUGUCAGCUAUUUUCUUCUGUCCAGCAGCCACAAUAGUCCUCGGUAUACUGGUUAUCAGUGACAGGAUUUUUGAGUCUCGGUGCAGUUCAACGAUUUCAAGAGAUCCCAUGAUGCCUUGGUGAUUGAACCUUGAAAUUCCUUUGCUUGCCGUACACCCUUCGUUAAUAAAUUGGGGAUUACAUUUGUCAGUUAUCAUCAAUGAAAGACAUCAGGUGGAGAAUCCAUUGAUAAGGCCUUGUUACAUUCCUAUUUAUGGAUGCUCAUUGGGAGACCCAAUAUUAGAUGCACUAGGCAAUAAAUUGGUUUUCUACAAGGGACCCGGGAAUGGCUCGCGUUCAAUUGUUGAAAGUGAGAUUAAUGCAGUGGAAAAGUCACAGCUUUCUGUGUGUAUGUGUGACUGAGAGAGAGAGAGAGAGAGAGAGAGAGAGAGAAGGGAAAUGGUAAUUAUGUAGUUUUGGAGAUGACUUGUUCACAUUUUGGCGCACAAUUCAUAUAUCUAUGUAAAGGGAUCUUAUAUACAUGCUUCCUCAUCACUACUGUGUCACCCUCCAACAGAUAUUAAUUUCCCAUGUGAUUUUUUUUUCA
Long non-coding RNA from Hevea brasiliensis (rubber tree), 1182 nucleotides. RefSeq lists it as uncharacterized. Lineage: Eukaryota; Viridiplantae; Streptophyta; Magnoliopsida; Malpighiales; Euphorbiaceae. The record is from RefSeq and is a predicted model, not a curated record. The transcript is spliced from 4 exons.